AGCUGGUGGGCAGAUCUCUGUCUGUUGUAGGAUCCAGAGUUACUCCCCACGACACGCUGUCCCAUGGGACAGAGGAGUGGUUCUCAAAACACCAGGUGGAAGCCCAGCCAGAGGAGCUGUCCCUGGGGGAACGGGCUCAGCACUCCAGCCAGCCGCCCCUAGCCCAGCUGAGCCACAGGCCAAGAGGAGGCCCCUCGCUCUGGCCAAACAGGGGCCCUGCAGCUUCACAGCAUCAGGAGACAGCAGCCCUGGCCACAUCCUUCCUUUCAGCCUGGUCCCAGGUGAACAGCUUCCCACUCUGCAGCAUCCCCGUGCAUCCCACGCCCUUGUUACAGGCACGCUUCUCUCAAGUGGUCAGGUCUGUGGGUUUUUGAGGCAGACUUUCACCCCCUGGGAAGUCUUACCUGCUCUCAGAUGCCACCUGAAUAUCAGGUUUGUGCUGGAGGAUUCUGCGGUCCCAGUGGUAAGCUUGGGCAACCGCUUCAAACCAGCUGUAUGUUAAAAUCUCCUAGGAUCAGGGUAAAAUUAGAGAAUUUUCCCCCAGACCUGGCCUGACAUCCUAAUCUCCUUUGUUUCAGUAACAGCUCUGUUGAGAUAUAAUUCACAUACCAUGCAAUUUACCCAUUUAAAGUAUACAGUGUUUAGUAUAUUUACACAAUCACAUUUUAGAACAUUUUAAUCACCUCCCCAAAAUACCCCCCACCCAUUAGCAGUCACUCUCCAUUUCCUCUCCCUUAGCCCCUGGCAGCCCCCAGUCUCUCUGUGCAUUUGCCUCUUCUGGAUGUUGUUUGCUUGGGUGUUAAUUGUGCUUCCAGGUAACUCUCGUGCUAGACUUGGGUACCACUGGCCUAGAGGCAUCCUGAAGUCCCCAGGUCACCCCAUUCAGGUCUUGGGGCUGGCUUGAGCUGAGGCAGGGCGGGCUAACUUGUGAACCCGAAUAGUGUCAGCUCCAGUGGGUGAGAUCUCAGCAGACGCAGCUGCUCCCCGCAGCAUGUCUGUUCAUGGUCCCUGGCCCUGCGGCACUGGCACGGAGCUUAGUGGUGACAGUGUCCUGAAAAGCAGGGUCCAGCCGUGCCUGAGCUGAGCUUCGG
Molecule: long non-coding RNA, 1091 nt
Filed under: Bos grunniens (domestic yak)
Lineage: Eukaryota; Metazoa; Chordata; Mammalia; Artiodactyla; Bovidae
Description: lncRNA (ENSBGRG00000013778.1)
Source: RNAcentral